UCGCGGCUUAUCACCGGCAGUCCCCUUAGAGUGCCCAACUGAAUGAUGGCAACUAAGGGCGAGGGUUGCGCUCGUUGCGGGACUUAACCCAACAUCUCACGACACGAGCUGACGACAGCCAUGCAGCACCUCCGCAGCGGUUCUUGCGAAAAGGGAUAUUUCUAUCCCGGUCCACUGCGCUUCGAGCCCAGGUAAGGUUCUUCGCGUUGCUUCGAAUUAUACCACAUGCUCCACCGCUUGUGCGGGCCCCCGUCAAUUCCUUUGAGUUUCAGCCUUGCGGCCGUACACCCCAGGCGGGGCACUUACAGCGUUAGCGACGGCACCGGGAGGGUCGCUCCCCCCGACGCCCAGUGCCCAUCUUUUACGGCGUGGACUAC
This 377-nucleotide unclassified non-coding RNA is filed under the name uncultured bacterium. Its description in RNAcentral is "contains 16S-23S intergenic spacer region". The record is from RNAcentral.